UAACGCGUGAGGAACCUGCCUUUCAGAGGGGGACAACAGCUGGAGACGGCUGCUAAUACCGCAUAACAUAUAGGUAUCGCAUGGUGCCUAUAUCAAAGAUUUAUCGCUGAAAGAUGGCCUCGCGUCUGAUUAGCUAGUUGGUAGGGUAACGGCCUACCAAGGCGACGAUCAGUAGCCGGACUGAGAGGUUGGCCGGCCACAUUGGGACUGAGAUACGGCCCAGACUCCUACGGAAGGCAGCAG
RNAcentral lists this ribosomal RNA (243 nucleotides) under uncultured bacterium. Its description in RNAcentral is "partial 16S ribosomal RNA". It matches the Rfam family "Bacterial small subunit ribosomal RNA", at positions 111 to 354 of the family's 1533-position model. The record is from RNAcentral.